RNAcentral lists this long non-coding RNA (506 nucleotides) under Gossypium raimondii (Peruvian cotton). RNAcentral's name for it is "long non-coding RNA (GRAI_LNC010245)". The record is from RNAcentral. Lineage: Eukaryota; Viridiplantae; Streptophyta; Magnoliopsida; Malvales; Malvaceae.
AGAGUUUAACUAAAAUAUUAUUUCUCAAAUUUAACUAAAAUAGGAAUCAUACUCAACAAACAUCUAUCAACCAAAACUGGCCAUCAUGAAAGAGUUGCAACUAUGCUUGACUCUCAACUGGAUAGCCUCUAUUAGCCGACCAUACCACUUGUGGAGAAGAUCUGAUAUGACCAUCGUAACUCGUGCUGAAGAUGGAGAUGGCAAAUAGGCAAUUGUCACCAUCAUAGCUGCAAUGGAAACCACAGACAAACGUCCCAUUAACAAGGAUCGGCUUCACACCAAAUGACUUCCUGAAAUUAUAGCCAGAUGAUGGAGGGAUUCUCCAAGAUUUCGGGUCAUCAACAAAUGAGGGGUAGUCCAUGAUUUCAGCAUCAACAAAAACUAACGCCGAAAUGAUCAAUGGCAUCAAAAGAGUGAUCAUUAGAAAGGCGCUACAAGAAUUGGUAUUCAUGAUCUUUGCUCUCUAAGGCGAGCAAUGGCUUACCAGGGAAAAGUAAAUUAGCUGC